UACGUAGGACCCGAGCGUUAUCCGGAUUCACUGGGUGUAAAGGGUGUGUAGGCGGGCGUGUGCGUCCGGGGUGAAAGGUUUCGGCUCAACCGGAAACAUGCCUUGGAUACGGCACGUCUUGGGUGCGGGAGAGGACGGUGGAAUUCCUGGUGUAGCGGUGAAAUGCGUAGAUAUCAGGAGGAACACCAGUGGCGAAGGCGGCCGUCUGGCCUGCAACCGACGCUGAAACACGAAAGCGUGGGGAGCAAACAGG
Molecule: ribosomal RNA, 253 nt
Filed under: uncultured bacterium
Lineage: Bacteria
Description: partial 16S ribosomal RNA
Rfam family: Bacterial small subunit ribosomal RNA
Source: RNAcentral